This 74-nucleotide transfer RNA is filed under the name Phycisphaeraceae bacterium. Its description in RNAcentral is "tRNA-Ile". It matches the Rfam family "tRNA". From Rfam's summary of the family: Transfer RNA (tRNA) molecules are approximately 80 nucleotides in length. Their secondary structure includes four short double-helical elements and three loops (D, anti-codon, and T loops). Lineage: Bacteria; Pseudomonadati; Planctomycetota; Phycisphaerae; Phycisphaerales; Phycisphaeraceae. The record is from RNAcentral.
GGGCUCGUAGCUCAGUUGGUCAGAGCGCGCCCCUGAUAAGGGCGAGGUCGGAAGUUCGAAUCUUCCCGGGCCCA